RNAcentral lists this long non-coding RNA (1302 nucleotides) under Olea europaea (common olive). RNAcentral's name for it is "long non-coding RNA (OEUR_LNC010236)". The record is from RNAcentral. Lineage: Eukaryota; Viridiplantae; Streptophyta; Magnoliopsida; Lamiales; Oleaceae.
UCAAUCAUACAACCUCUAAAUAAAGGUCCCAAAAUAAAAUAGGUAUAUGGUGGUGGAUCACAUCACAAUUAUAAUAUUCGAUUAGAAUCCACUCCCCAUUGUCCAUAUGAUUCACAUUUUUCUUCACUUUCAAUACUUCAAUUCUUUAAUUAAACAUUACAAAGCUUUUUAAGUGCUCUUCUGCCGACAAUUUUCCACUCUUUUGGCCCUAUAAAAUCUCUCAACCCUUAUCUUUCAGUCUGUACCAAGAAAUCACCUGAGAACUAUCUCUUUCUUCAUUCCAGUCUCCUGAAGUUCGUCUUAAAACCCUCUUGAUCUUAUCUUUAUUCGGCACGAACGGAUACAAAAAAUAAUCUGAACCUAGCAGUCGAUCGAGACUCUUUCAAGCUAACCUAUCCCAACAGCCACUCCUGUCAGUUUUCGACUAACUCAAUGGCGAAAAAAGUUGAAUAUCCGAGUUGGAUUGAGGUUGCACCACCACUUAUUAUUUCCCCAAAAAAGACCUCCAAUUCUCCUACCCUUGAGACAAUUAUAGAAGAGGAUUCUGCAGAGAACUGUGAAGAUGAUGUGAGUUCAGGAGUAUUGGAACUACUUGAAUUUAUUAGCAGCUUAUAAGUAGCUUUUUCAAUUAAGGGUUCAAUUAAUCAUGUAUUCAACAGGCAGGCUUCAGUAAACAAAUCGAAGUGUACGUUUUGUUAAAUCAGUCCUUAUUAACAUGUAUAUGAGUUCGGAUGGAUGUAUUUCAGUGCUUUGACGAUUUUGUAUCAUAAAUUAAGAGGAAAUUUAGUUUUGUUAUUUUAGGCGAUAUAUAGUCAAAGCAGAAACUGGCCGAUAAACUUCUAUAAAAUAAUUUCACGGAUUCUGGAAGAAUCUUUUAUUAAUUUAAUUAGAGAAUGAGGACUUAGCGUUGAGGUUUACUUUUGAUUAACAUAGGGCUUUUGGUCUUGUGGUUUUUUUUUUUUUUUUUUUUUUUUUUAAUUAAAAUAUGUAAAACUUUGGAGUUUUUCCAAUUCUUUCUACCCAAUUUCGAUAUUAAUUUCUCUGUCCAAUUUUGAUGUUCAUUUUGAGCUAAUGAAUUUGACAAAUCAAGAUCUAAUAUUUGGUAUCAUUGACGAAUGAACGAAUAUUUAAUUUUUAAAUUUGCAACAUUCUCAUCAUAUUCAACACGUUUUGAACUCAUUAUUCAUUCACGUAAAACUUUUCUUGCUGCAUUCCACAAGAAGACAUUCACGGCAACUUUGAUACAUUCAAUGUAUUGUAGUAAACUACUUAUAUUUGAUAAAUAAAUAAAAGACAUUCACG